Long non-coding RNA from Nannospalax galili (Upper Galilee mountains blind mole rat), 1282 nucleotides. RefSeq lists it as uncharacterized. The record is from RefSeq and is a predicted model, not a curated record. NCBI's taxonomy places the organism in Eukaryota, Metazoa, Chordata, Mammalia, Rodentia, Spalacidae. The transcript has 4 exons.
GCCUUGCCCGGCGCAGCCCCGGCCGCCGGGCGCACCCGUCCCGUUCGUCCCCGGACGUUGCUCUCUGCCCCGGGAACGUCGAGACUGGAGCGCCCGAACUGAGCCACCUUCGCCAACCCGGAGCGCCGCGGCCCUACUCACCCGGGAGGCUCCCGGACGCGUAAAUGUCCCCCAGGGCUAGGCCUGGGCCCCGAAGGCAGCUUCUGGGAGUUGCGCUGGUUAGAACGCCCUAGCAAUCACAGGGACUUUUCUGGGAUGACCGGGUCCCAGCCGGAUCCCGCAGCUCCAGCCGCCCGCGUCCAGUGCUCUACCAACCCUGGUGACCAGCUGUCUUAACUUCCCGGGCUGGAGAGCGCGCUUGCGUCCCAGGCUGGGCUGGGCGCGGGCAGAUCGCUUGCACCCAGCAAAGGAACUUGUCCUGUCCGGAGAAGCGCAGGACCUGGGACAGGGAUAUGGGGCAAGUCCACCCGUUGCCACUGUGUCUUAGAAAAAAAGCUAUCACCGGUUGAAAGAGCCUGUUUGUGCUGCUUGGGGCCUGCUGAUGGGUGUGCCCAUGUGCACACACAUGUGUACUUCUGUGGCUGUCAUGGCCUGGGGCUGAUGUAAGUCCAGCUCCUGUGGGCCCCUCUGUGGGCCCAGCCGGCCAGUCACACCUGGACCACACUCCUUCCUGACCUGCUACAUCCAGGAAAGCAGCUGCCAGCCUCUCUGGGGAGUGGCUGGUGUUUUGUGGGGGACAGGCUACACCUGCAUCUCAGGGUUCCAGAGCGUUGAAUGAGGCACCCAGCUCCAGCCCCUUCAUGGCCUCUUGUGCAGGGGGACCUCCCAGGCACUCAGAAGAGAUGGUUCAACCCCCACACCCAGAGAAGAGUGUUGGAGAAUGGACCUUGUUGCACCUGACCAUGAGCCUAGCCUUCCAUGGCCAUCAUUCUGUCUAUCUCUCCUUGACUGGCCUGUGGACACUCCAGGGGCUUUUGUGUCUCUGAGCCUCUACCCAUGCUGUUCCUGUAGCCUUUCUCUUUCAUCUAGACUCUCUGUUCCUCCUUUUCCAAAGGAACAGGAGCAACCCCAGCCCCACACAGGGGAGCCCAGCUCUCCUGCCCAGGCUCUGCUUGCAGGAUCACAACCCCUCUCCUUGGCCUGCUCACUCUCCAAGGCCUGCAGCCUCCCCAGUGGAUGCAUUUCUAUCUGCCCUGCAGACCUGCCCCUCCCAGACUGGCUCAGCUGGGAUCCCUUGUAGUAACUGCUGGGAGGCACCCAAUAAAGCUUUGUGCACUGAGUA